Eubalaena glacialis (North Atlantic right whale) is the source of this 329-nucleotide long non-coding RNA. RefSeq lists it as uncharacterized. The transcript is spliced from 3 exons. Lineage: Eukaryota; Metazoa; Chordata; Mammalia; Artiodactyla; Balaenidae. The record is from RefSeq and is a predicted model, not a curated record.
AAGCGGCCCCCGAAGACGAUGGAGCUGAUGACAUUGGAGACGGUUCGGCUCAGGAAGAAGCAACUUCAGGAACUGCUUGUCCUCAUAGUCAAAGCGGCUUCCAAAGACGACGGAACUGAUGACAUUGGAGACAGUGCGGCUCAGGAAGAAAGGGGCACGGGUUCGAGCCCUUGUCUAGGAAGAUCCCACAUGCCGCGGAGCAACUAAGCCGGUGAGCCACAACUACUGAAGCCCGUGUGCCUAAGAGCCCGUACUCCGCAGCAAGAGAAGCCACUGCAGUGAGAAGCCUCAGCUCGCCGCAACUUAGAGAAAGCCCGUGCGCAACAACG